This is a long non-coding RNA of Mauremys mutica (yellowpond turtle), 1807 nucleotides long. RefSeq lists it as uncharacterized. NCBI's taxonomy places the organism in Eukaryota, Metazoa, Chordata, Testudines, Geoemydidae. The record is from RefSeq and is a predicted model, not a curated record. The transcript is spliced from 3 exons.
AGAAGAGUCAUGUCUGCCCCGCCUGAAACGGAAAGGUGGGACAGGAAGGGGAAGUACAAAAGGCGGGCCUUGCAGCUCAGUUGGGUGGGAGCUGCCAUAGGAGACAGAUGCAUCCCGCUUGCUGCUGAAGCCAGCAGAGGAACUCCUGGGGUUGCCUCCUGAGGAUUGGUCAGAACUCCCAGGACUGUUGGCUGACCAAGGCACCGAGGAGCUGCCGGGGCUUCCCUGGCUGGAUCUCCCUGGGCUACUGGCCGAGUGAGACACUGACGAGCUGUUGGGGCUGCUGCCUGCAGAUUGGCCAGCAAUCCCUGAGUCAACGGACACAGGUACACCUGAGGGGGAGAGUAGGAAGCAGCCCAUGGAAACCAGGCAACCAUCUGGUUGGGAAACGGCCAGAUACAAGGGUGGGAAAAAUCUUCAGAAUCAUUCUCAUGGGAUGAGGAAAGCGUCCUGCUUCACUCUAACACAGGUUUGGGACACGGAAUAUGCUGCCUACAUCUAAUGAUAUUUCGGAAACGCCUGUGGAUAACUAGAUUAAUCAUUUUAUGUGGGUCUACGUGAGGUGCUCCAGAAAUCCCCAAGUGUUGAAAUUAUAUUCUACUGUCUCAACAAUACAGUCCCUGCUCUGCUAUUAGUGUGAAGGACCAGUGACAUCCAGUGGCAAGUUGGAGUGACUGAAUUCCUUACAAUUCUGCCAAAGCACAGGUGCUUUAUUUUCACAUGGGUUGAUAGCAACUCUGUCCUGUUGUUUUAGAAUCAUUAUUAUUAAACAUAUCUUGCCUCUAGCUUCUUACUCCAGGCCCACUUCUGUGGUAGCUGGGCACCUACUGAGCAUGCUCCGUUUGCUAUUCUUAUGAAUUACAUAUAGCUCUAUAUUUGUUUUAACUUUGGUUGCAUGGGUACUUCAAUGUGAGCUUCAUCGGGAACAAUGGCCAUAAAACUCAAAAUUCUCUAGCAAUGACGUUCCACAUAAACAUAACCAGGGAGAAAUUUGUCCUUGGGAGAGGCUAUGUGCCUAAAAUACAUGACUUGGUUAAGGAUACUAUGAAACAUUUUUCUAACACUUAGGGUACAGAAAGAGACUGAGCACUCAGCUAGAGUACUGACUUACUUUAGAGUGAGUGAAGAUUGCUCUCUCUCUCGCCUUCCCUCCCCCAUUUUAGGAAGAAAUUCUGACCACUGUACAAAGAUCGUUUACCAAACUUCCAAGAACUUCUCUUAAAGGUCCAACGUCACUAACCGAAUGUAGGUGUGUAUUGUAAAUUACAUUUUGGAGAAUGCUAUAUUUCAAAAACAGUUCCUCCUUUUGCUCACUGCCUAGUUCUGGAUUCCCUUUUCCUUGCAUGAGUUGAUCUCUAGUAUUCACUUGAACUACAGAUGCAGUCCUCACGGAAUGAGUGAAAGAAUAAAUGUCAUUUAUAGUCUGGGUGGGAAAUAUUUCAACUUGGAAGCGGUUAUUAGCAAAGUUUAAAAAAAAUCUGAAAUCUGUUCACAAUGUUGAAAGUACAGAAUAGAGAAUUAUUUUGUUUAAAAUACAAAGUAAUUAAAAAAAAACAUAACAUGACUUUUGACAGAAGGGACAAUAUGAAUUGCAGAUCCUCUGGUAACUUUAAUAUUAGAGGGGCCUUUAUUAAAGAGAAUGAUUUACUGCUUGUGUUUAGAUGCACUGAACUCUGAACCCCUCUGUGUAAAAAUAGAUCACUGAUAACCCUUAAUAAAGUUGUGUAUUUACUGUAACCCAUAACUUGCAUUACGUCAACUGUACUUCAUCCCUCUGUAUCUGCCACAAUCUUUUACUCAUAUACUG